This 406-nucleotide ribosomal RNA is filed under the name uncultured bacterium. RNAcentral's name for it is "partial 16S ribosomal RNA". It matches the Rfam family "Bacterial small subunit ribosomal RNA", at positions 30 to 526 of the family's 1533-position model. The record is from RNAcentral.
AUUGAACGCUGGCGGCAGGCUUAACACAUGCAAGUCGAGCGAGCGGCGGACGGGUGAGUAAUGUCUGGGAAACUGCCUGAUGGAGGGGGAUAACUACUGGAACCGGUACCUAAUACGGAAUACACUCGGUUUUCCCCAGAUGGGAUUGGCUAGUAGGUGGGGUAAUGGCUCACCUAGCCGACGAUCCCUAGCUGGUCUGAGAGGAUGCCCAGCCACACUGGAACUGAGACACGGUCCAGACUCCUACGGGAGGCAGCAGUGGGGAAUAUUGCACAAUGGGCGCAAGCCUGAUGCAGCCAUGCCGCGUGUAUGAAGAAGGCCUUCGGGUUGUAAAGUACUUUCAGUCGGGAGGCGUUACCGACAGAAGAAGCACCGGCUAACUCCGUGCCAGCCGCCGCGGUAAUUC